GCACCAAAGAAUUUCAGGAGAACAUUAAUAUGGGUUUAACAGAUUAUAGCAAAGACUUUCAUUGUGUUGACUGUGAUUCCCAUCUUGGGAGAAAGACAGGAUAUAAAUUAAACAAACAAAAUCGUGAGAAAGUAUGUCUCUCUCUAAAAGAAGUAGGUGUGUCAUAACACCUUAGUGUUUUCAUGUGUAACCUACACUUUUAACCAGAGGCCAUUGCAAAGAGACAACUGGAGAAACUGAAUGGUUUUCCAUCAGCAAUGGGAUCAGACAAGUCAGCAUUUUAUCACAUUACCUGUUUAAUUUAUAUGCAGAACAUCUCAUAUGGAAAGCAGGAGUGGACUCAUGAUAAACAAGGAUGAAAAUUGGAGGAAGUAAAUCAAGAUGCAAAGAAGUAAAAUCAAGAUGUGAAGAUUACACCAUAAUACUUGCAAAAAAUAACAAAAACUUGGAAAAACUGUUAAUGAAUGUUAAGGAAGAAAGUGCAUAAGCAGAGUUACAGGUGGGUGAAAUCAUAUCUGUGAUUAAUCUAAGAAGGAAGAAGCAGAUGCUGCCAGAGAAAACAAUACAGCAGUAGCAGGAUUUCCCCCGAAAAAGUGAACGUGUGACACAUGCUUUUGCUCUCAGCCAGAUGCACCCUCUUAAAUGAUCUUGGACAUGCUCUCCUCCUUUCUUGGCACCUGGUGGCAGCGAGAAUAUUAUUUGCCAAAUUUUGGAAAAGAAAGGAAAUUCUAGCAAUAGAAGAGUGGAAAAUAAAAAUGAUGGAUAUUUAUGAAAUGGACAAAUUGACACAUUUGAUAAAUAAUCGUUCUAUGGAAGACUUCUAUACUGAAUGGGAAGUAUGGAAAGAGUAUAUCCAGAAAGAAAAAAGAGAAGAGCUUCACGUGGCCUUGAUGCCAGAUUAAUUAAUAUGGUAUUGAAAAUAAAGGAAAUAUAGAAAAGGUUUGGAAUAACAGUCAAUAUUGAAAAGGAUAAGGGAUAGAUUUAUAAUAAAACGUGUAUUUGUAUGUGUAUUUGUUCCGGGGUAAGAAAUGACCAUAUAAAAUGUAUGAUAUAUGAUAAAAUUCAAAAAGGCAUAACAGCACAAAGAAGGAAGAUAGAUAGAUAGGAUAUAAUCUGAUAUAUAAUCAAACAUGAUGAAAGACUGUAUAUAAGAUUAGUAGAAAAAUAGUAACAAAUUAGUAUAAUUUAGAGAAAUCCAGUAAUUAAAGAAGUAUUAAGAAGAGAUGUAGAACAAAAUGAUAUUGUAUGACAUUGUUUGUGUGUUUGUGUUUUGUGGGGUUUAUUCUCUCUCUUGUAUAUAAUUUUUUUUAACA
Long non-coding RNA from Sceloporus undulatus (fence lizard), 1313 nucleotides. RefSeq lists it as uncharacterized. The record is from RefSeq and is a predicted model, not a curated record. The transcript is spliced from 3 exons. Lineage: Eukaryota; Metazoa; Chordata; Lepidosauria; Squamata; Phrynosomatidae.